This 246-nucleotide ribosomal RNA is filed under the name uncultured bacterium. Its description in RNAcentral is "partial small subunit ribosomal RNA". It matches the Rfam family "Bacterial small subunit ribosomal RNA", at positions 26 to 285 of the family's 1533-position model. The record is from RNAcentral.
AGAAUCAACGCUGGCGGCGUGCCUAACACAUGCAAGUCGCACGAGAAAGUGGAGCAAUCCAUGAGUAAAGUGGCGCACGGGUGAGUAACACGUGAAUAAUCUACCUCCGAGUGGGGGAAUAACUGAGAGAAAUCUUAGCUAAUACCGCAUAACACUUACGAGUCAAAGCAGCAAUGCGCUUGGAGAGGAGUUCGCGGCAGAUUAGUUAGUUGGCGGGGUAAUGGCCCACCAAGACGAUGAUCUGUA